UGUGAUUAUUGGGUCAGUUCUGAGGGACUUCAGCUGUUGUGGGUGAAUCAGGCUGGUGUUGAUCUGACGACAGACUCCAGAUAUCAGAUAUUAUUCUCAUCAUAUCACUGUAUCAUCACUCUGACUACAACACUCCUGAAUGAAGAUGACAACAGAGAGUGGAGAUGUCAGCUUACCCUCAGAAAUCAACUCAAGACCUCAGUCAGAUUCACUGUCAAGUAUUCAGCUCAGGAUGUGCAUGAAUCUACAGUCAGAGUCGCAGUGAUUUCUGUCGCUGCAGUCGCUGUUUUCCUUCUUGCUGUUCUCUGGCUGAUCUGCAGAAAAACAGCUGAUAGUAAAAGAGGGACAGUCGACUCUGCGGUCAAAGAUGAGAAUGAACAUAAAGGGACGUAUGAGACGAUCAACACGUCCAUUCCUCCUGCUGCCAGAGCCAAUGAGCAGACAGAUGAUCAUGUGACUUAUUCUGAGGUCACUUCCUCCAAUAAAAAGCCAGUAAAAUCAGUGGAUGAUCAUAAUGAUACAGUGACUUAUGCUGCCAUCAGAUGAACAGAAGAUGAACCGCAGGAUGAACUUUAUUCUCUGUCAACAAGAAGAAGACCUUCACAAAUAAACAUUAAUGACACAGAUCAUGAGCUCAUCAUAUCAGGAGCAGACGGGACGUUUUCAUCUCUCUGGUGUUUGGAGGAAUUAACUGUUCAUUCAGAUAUUUGCUGAAUAUACAAUCAUUUCAAAAGUAAAGUAUGGUAAUGUUUCCUAAAUUUUUAACCCAGUGCAGCACAAACUAUUCUUUCUUUAUAAGUCCUCUAGUCAGGAAUUACUUUUUUUUUUUUUUUUUUAAACAGUCUGUGUCAAUGCAAAAUAAUUUGGAUUUUAAAGCCAAUCAUGGCAUUGGUCUGUGCAUUUAUGCCCUAAAAGAAAUAGUAAAUAAGUAUAGAGAUAAACAAUAGUCAGUUCUUGAGUGUUUUACGGAUCAUCCAGAGAUUUUGAUCAUAAAAAGUUAUUUCUUAAAAUUGAACAACAAGGGGUGUAUGAAUACAUUGUGAGAAUUUUGUCCUAUUGAUAUGCCCACCAGUCACUGCAAGUAAAAUUGUUCAGCACAUAAAGAUGAACUUCUUAUCAUGAUCUCAGACUGUGGUGAUGUGGUUUCUCCAUUGCAUGGAUCUUCAUGUGACUUUUAAUAGAGAAACUCUUUCCACACUGAUCACACGUGUGCGGCUUCUUCUUCAGCUUUAAGUGUCAAUUUACAGCAGAUCUGAAGACAUCAGCAUAAUAAAUGAGGGGGAAACAGGAACUAUUGACAUGAAAUAAAGAGUGUUUUCAGCAGUUUCUCUGUUAAUAUUGAUGAUCCUCAGACUAUCAACACUCAUUCAACAAGACAUUCAAAAGUUGAACUCAGUAAUGACUGUUGUCUGAGAACAAUGAAAAUCAUUUUGACAUUAAUUUGCAUUACUGGAUUGCACCGUGUUUUGCUUAAAAUUGUUCUUGUCAAACUCAGCUUCGCCAGCAGGGGGCACCCAAGCUUUACACUACGCAUCAGUAGCUUACUAACAGAACAGAAAUAGUAUUCAGUACGUGAUGAGUGUCCUGUACACGCAAUGGAAAAGUGCUCCUUGUUGAACAUGUGUUUUUCAUGUGUUUUAACCCACACACAACUGUGAUCGUUUUUUGAACCCAGUUUAGAUUCAGAUACUUGUAGCCAGGUGAACUGGGAGUAGAAUCGAGUAAACGUUAUUGUUUCAUACUCAAUGUGUAUCUGAUAUGAAUAAAACACUUCAUCAAAUUAAAUAACUGAAAAGGGUUAUUAUUGCAGCUUCCACAGACAUCAGUGUAUGGAAUUUGAUUUUUAACAAACUAUAAAUGUCUUUUUUAAAUAGCCUAGUCCUUCAUUCAAAUGUGUAUUUAAAUGUCUGAAAUCUAAAAUAAACUUGAUGUGGUUGAAAACA
Ctenopharyngodon idella (grass carp) is the source of this 1943-nucleotide long non-coding RNA. RefSeq lists it as uncharacterized. The transcript is spliced from 8 exons. The record is from RefSeq and is a predicted model, not a curated record. Lineage: Eukaryota; Metazoa; Chordata; Actinopteri; Cypriniformes; Xenocyprididae.